This 253-nucleotide ribosomal RNA is filed under the name uncultured bacterium. Its description in RNAcentral is "partial 16S ribosomal RNA". It matches the Rfam family "Bacterial small subunit ribosomal RNA", at positions 524 to 776 of the family's 1533-position model. The record is from RNAcentral.
UACGUAGGGUGCGAGCGUUAUUCGGAAUUACUGGGCGUAAAGCGUGCGCAGGCGGUUCGUUAAGUCAGAUGUGAAAGCCCCGGGCUCAACCUGGGAACUGCAUUUGAAACUGGCGGGCUUGAGUGCGGCAGAGGGGGGUGGAAUUCCGCGUGUAGCAGUGAAAUGCGUAGAGAUGCGGAGGAACACCGAUGGCGAAGGCAGCCCCCUGGGUCGACACUGACGCUCAGGCACGAAAGCGUGGGGAGCAAACAGG